UGAGGAAUAUUGGUCAAUGGGCGAGAGCCUGAACCAGCCAAGUCGCGUGAGGGAAGACAGUCCUAUGGAUUGUAAACCUCUUUUGCCGGGGAGCAAAGAGACGGCACGUGUGCCGCGCCGAGAGUACCCGGAGAAAAGCAUCGGCUAACUCCGUGCC
RNAcentral lists this ribosomal RNA (157 nucleotides) under uncultured bacterium. Its description in RNAcentral is "partial 16S ribosomal RNA". It matches the Rfam family "Bacterial small subunit ribosomal RNA", at positions 355 to 509 of the family's 1533-position model. The record is from RNAcentral.